CCUACGGGGGGCUGCAGUGAGGAAUAUUGGUCAAUGGGCGCGAGCCUGAACCAGCCAAGUCGCGUGAGGGAAGACGGUCCUAUGGAUUGUAAACCUCUUUUGUCGGGGAGCAAAUGACGCCACGCGUGGCGUUCCGAGAGUACCCGAAGAAAAAGCAUCGGCUAACUCCGUGCCAGCAGCCGCGGUAAUACGGAGGCUGCGAGCGUUAUCCGGAUUUAUUGGGUUUAAGGGGUGCGCAGGCGGAAGUUCAAGUAAGCGGGAAAAGUGAGUGGCUAAACCUAUGCGAGCCGUUGAAACUGGUUGUCGUGAGUGAGCGAGAAGUAUGCGGAAUGCGUGGUGUAGCGGUGAAAUGCAUAGAUAUCACGCAGAACUCCGAUUGCGAAGGCAGCAUACCGGCGCUCAACUGACGCUCAUGCACGAAAGUGUGGGUAUCGAACAGGAUUAGAUACCCUAGUAGUC
RNAcentral lists this ribosomal RNA (459 nucleotides) under uncultured bacterium. Its description in RNAcentral is "partial 16S ribosomal RNA". It matches the Rfam family "Bacterial small subunit ribosomal RNA", at positions 338 to 795 of the family's 1533-position model. The record is from RNAcentral.